Molecule: ribosomal RNA, 255 nt
Filed under: uncultured bacterium
Lineage: Bacteria
Description: partial 16S ribosomal RNA
Rfam family: Bacterial small subunit ribosomal RNA
Source: RNAcentral
UACGUAGGGGGCAAGCGUUGUCCGGAAUUAUUGGGCGUAAAGAGCGUGUAGGCGGUCCGGUAAGUCGGUUGUGAAAGUCCAGGGCUCAACCCUGGGAUGCCGAUCGAUACUGCCGGACUAGAGUCCGGAAGAGGCGAGUGGAAUUCCCGGUGUAGCGGUGAAAUGCGCAGAUAUCGGGAGGAACACCUAUGGGCGAAGGCAGCUCGCUGGGACGUUACUGACGCUGGAGACGCGAAAGCGUGGGGAGCAAACAGG